GGUUAAGCGACUAAGCGUACACGGUGGAUGCCCUGGCAGUCAGAGGCGAUGAAGGACGUGCUAAUCUGCGAAAAGCGCCGGCGAGGUGAUAUGAACCCUUGACCCGGCGAUGUCCGAAUGGGGAAACCCAGUGCAAUCCGUUGCACUAUCGUUAACUGAAUACAUAGGUUAACGAGGCGAACCGGGGGAACUGAAACAUCUAAGUACCCCGAGGAAAAGAAAUCAACCGAGAUUCCCCCAGUAGCGGCGAGCGAACGGGGAGCAGCCCGGAGUCUGAAUCAGCUUGUGUGUUAGUGGAACGGUCUGGAAAGUCCGACGGUACAGGGUGAUAGUCCCGUACACGAAAAUGCACAUGCUGUGAACUCGAAGAGUAGGGCGGGACACGUGGUAUCCUGUCUGAAUAUGGGGGGACCAUCCUCCAAGGCUAAAUACUCCUGACUGACCGAUAGUGAACCAGUACCGUGAGGGAAAGGCGAAAAGAACCCCGGCGAGGGGAGUGAAAAAGAACCUGAAACCGUGUACGUACAAGCAGUGGGAGCCUCUUUAUGGGGUGACUGCGUACCUUUUGUAUAAUGGGUCAGCGACUUAUAUUCUGUAGCAAGGUUAACCGUAUAGGGGAGCCGAAGGGAAACCGAGUCUUAACUGGGCGUUAAGUUGCAGGGUAUAGACCCGAAACCCGGUGAUCUAGCCAUGGGCAGGUUGAAGGUUGGGUAACACUAACUGGAGGACCGAACCGACUAAUGUUGAAAAAUUAGCGGAUGACCUGUGGCUGGGGGUGAAAGGCCAAUCAAACCGGGAGAUAGCUGGUUCUCCCCGAAAGCUAUUUAGGUAGCGCCUCGUGAACUCAUCUUCGGGGGUAGAGCACUGUUUCGGCUAGGGGGCCAUCCCGGCUUACCAACCCGAUGCAAACUACGAAUACCGAAGAAUGUUAUCACGGGAGACACACGGCGGGUGCUAACGUCCGUCGUGAAGAGGGAAACAACCCAGACCGCCAGCUAAGGUCCCAAAGUCAUGGUUAAGUGGGAAACGAUGUGGGAAGGCACAGACAGCCAGGAUGUUGGCUUAGAAGCAGCCAUCAUUUAAAGAAAGCGUAAUAGCUCACUGGUCGAGUCGGCCUGCGCGGAAGAUGUAACGGGGCUAAACCAUGCACCGAAGCUGCGGCAGCGACACUAUGUGUUGUUGGGUAGGGGAGCGUUCUGUAAGCCGUUGAAGGUGUGCUGUGAGGCAUGCUGGAGGUAUCAGAAGUGCGAAUGCUGACAUAAGUAACGAUAAAGCGGGUGAAAAGCCCGCUCGCCGGAAGACCAAGGGUUCCUGUCCAACGUUAAUCGGGGCAGGGUGAGUCGACCCCUAAGGCGAGGCCGAAAGGCGUAGUCGAUGGGAAACAGGUUAAUAUUCCUGUACUUGGUGUUACUGCGAAGGGGGGACGGAGAAGGCUAUGUCAGCCGGGCGACGGUUGUCCCGGUUUAAGCAUGUAGGCGGAGGUUCCAGGUAAAUCCGGUACCUUAUUAACGCUGAGGUGUGAUGACGAGGCACUACGGUGCUGAAGUGAUAAAUGCCCUGCUUCCAGGAAAAGCCUCUAAGCAUCAGGUAACACGAAAUCGUACCCCAAACCGACACAGGUGGUCAGGUAGAGAAUACCAAGGCGCUUGAGAGAACUCGGGUGAAGGAACUAGGCAAAAUGGUGCCGUAACUUCGGGAGAAGGCACGCUGAUGUGUAGGUGAAGCCCCUGCGGGCGGAGCUGAAAUCAGUCGAAGAUACCAGCUGGCUGCAACUGUUUAUUAAAAACACAGCACUGUGCAAACACGAAAGUGGACGUAUACGGUGUGACGCCUGCCCGGUGCCGGAAGGUUAAUUGAUGGGGUUAGCGGCAACGCGAAGCUCUUGAUCGAAGCCCCGGUAAACGGCGGCCGUAACUAUAACGGUCCUAAGGUAGCGAAAUUCCUUGUCGGGUAAGUUCCGACCUGCACGAAUGGCGUAAUGAUGGCCAGGCUGUCUCCACCCGAGACUCAGUGAAAUUGAACUCGCUGUGAAGAUGCAGUGUACCCGCGGCAAGACGGAAAGACCCCGUGAACCUUUACUAUAGCUUGACACUGAACACUGGUCCUUGAUGUGUAGGAUAGGUGGGAGGCUUUGAAGCGUGGACGCCAGUCUGCGUGGAGCCAACCUUGAAAUACCACCCUUUAAUGGCUGGUGUUCUAACGUGGACCCGUAAUCCGGGUUGCGGACAGUGUCUGGUGGGUAGUUUGACUGGGGCGGUCUCCUCCCAAAGAGUAACGGAGGAGCACGAAGGUUGGCUAAUCCUGGUCGGACAUCAGGAGGUUAGUGCAAUGGCAUAAGCCAGCUUGACUGCGAGCGUGACGGCGCGAGCAGGUGCGAAAGCAGGUCAUAGUGAUCCGGUGGUUCUGAAUGGAAGGGCCAUCGCUCAACGGAUAAAAGGUACUCCGGGGAUAACAGGCUGAUACCGCCCAAGAGUUCAUAUCGACGGCGGUGUUUGGCACCUCGAUGUCGGCUCAUCACAUCCUGGGGCUGAAGUAGGUCCCAAGGGUAUGGCUGUUCGCCAUUUAAAGUGGUACGCGAGCUGGGUUUAGAACGUCGUGAGACAGUUCGGUCCCUAUCUGCCGUGGGCGCUGGAGAAUUGAGGGGGGCUGCUCCUAGUACGAGAGGACCGGAGUGGACGCAUCACUGGUGUUCGGGUUGUCAUGCCAAUGGCACUGCCCGGUAGCUAAAUGCGGAAGAGAUAAGUGCUGAAAGCAUCUAAGCACGAAACUUGCCCCGAGAUGAGUUCUCCCUGAGACCUUGAGUCUCCUGAAGGAACGUUGAAGACGACGACGUUGAUAGGUCGGGUGUGUAAGCGCAGCGAUGCGUUGAGCUAACCGAUACUAAUGAACCGUGAGGCUUAACCUU
Molecule: ribosomal RNA, 2905 nt
Filed under: Enterobacter cloacae complex sp. P34C
Lineage: Bacteria; Pseudomonadati; Pseudomonadota; Gammaproteobacteria; Enterobacterales; Enterobacteriaceae
Description: 23S ribosomal RNA
Rfam family: Bacterial large subunit ribosomal RNA
Source: RNAcentral